CUUCAACGAACCGAGCCACAGUGGCCGAUCCGCAUCGCGACCCUGCCCAUAGGUGGCCAAAAGGGCCUGGGCCUC
RNAcentral lists this antisense RNA (75 nucleotides) under Nocardia amikacinitolerans. RNAcentral's name for it is "Nocardia sp. W9988 ASpks TB sRNA". It matches the Rfam family "ASpks TB sRNA". Lineage: Bacteria; Bacillati; Actinomycetota; Actinomycetes; Mycobacteriales; Nocardiaceae. The record is from Rfam by way of RNAcentral.